GAUGAACGCUGGCGGCGUGCUUAACACAUGCAAGUCGAACGGAAAGGCUCCUGCUUGCCGGGGUACUCGAGUGGCGAACGGGUGAGUAACACGUGGGUGAUCUGCCCUGCACUUCGGGAUAAGCCUGGGAAACUGGGUCUAAUACCGGAUAGGACGAUGGUUUGGAUGCCAUUGUGGAAAGUUUUUCGGUGUGGGAUGAGCUCGCGGCCUAUCAGCUUGUUGGUGGGGUAAUGGCCUACCAAGGCGUCGACGGGUAGCCGGCCUGAGAGGGUGUACGGCCACAUUGGGACUGAGAUACGGCCCAGACUCCUACGGGAGGCAGCAGAGGGGAAUAUUGCACAAUGGGCGCAAGCCUGAUGCAGCGACGCCGCGUGGGGGAUGACGGCCUUCGGGUUGUAAACUCCUUUCGCUAGGGACGAAGCGCAAGUGACGGUACCUGGAGAAGAAGCACCGGCUAACUACGUG
Molecule: ribosomal RNA, 465 nt
Filed under: uncultured bacterium
Lineage: Bacteria
Description: partial 16S ribosomal RNA
Rfam family: Bacterial small subunit ribosomal RNA
Source: RNAcentral